RNAcentral lists this long non-coding RNA (698 nucleotides) under Mytilus galloprovincialis (Mediterranean mussel). Lineage: Eukaryota; Metazoa; Mollusca; Bivalvia; Mytilida; Mytilidae. The record is from RNAcentral.
UAUGAUAAGAGGAUUAUGUACGUAUGAAUAUUGUGAACAGAAUAUUUUUAAAUGUAUCAGUUGUCAGAGUUGACAAGACCAUAUUUCGAGGACGAAAUGUAUUCUGGGGGAGGGGCAGUGUUGUAAAUGUGUAUAUUGGUUAUUUCCAAGUAAAGGAAUAUUGUUAUUAUUGUAUUAAGAGAGUUUAUAUAAGUUGUCAGAAGUUAUUUCUAGUAUUUAGUAUAUUGAAUGAGUAAUUAACGUACGUUUUACUUUAUGUUAUUAGCUGUAUCGAUAACGUCGUAUAUGGCGCAACUUUGUCAUGUAUUGUUCAGAACGUUACCGUUGGGUCAAUAUUUUAAGCGUGAACCCAAAAGUGUACAUUUAUGAGUUCUUAACUGGAAGAAUUAAUAUGUCUAGAUAUGUUUAUUUAUAAGAGUGUUUGAUUAUAAGCAUUUUGAGUCGAGGACUCCUAUAUUUUAUGUAAGCGUUUUACGUUAUGUUACGUUAUGUUUUUCUUCCUGCUUAGAAUAUUUACUUCCGGUAAUUUGAAAUAAAUACCAGUGCAACGUCACGUUCGUCAGUCUUUGCUGUGUUUACUUUUGGCUUGCAGCAAGGCUCAUCCCGGGGGUUCCUAGAGGUAAGAAGCAGCGCAUUAGCUGUAUGCCUCGCAUUUUAUAUUACAAGUAAGGGUUAUAAUUUAGAGGUAAGAAGCAGCG